Molecule: ribosomal RNA, 700 nt
Filed under: uncultured bacterium
Lineage: Bacteria
Description: bacterial SSU rRNA
Rfam family: Bacterial small subunit ribosomal RNA
Source: RNAcentral
AGUGGCGGACGGGUGAGUAACACGUAAGAAUUUGCCUUUAGGAGGGGGAUAACAGAGGGAAACAGCUGCUAAUACCCCAUAUGCUUUCGAGUGAAAUGGAUUUUUCCGCCUAAAGAGAAGCUUGCGGCUGAUUAGCUUGUUGGUGAGGUAAUGGCUCACCAAGGCGACGAUCAGUAUCUGGUUUGAGAGGACGAUCAGACACACUGGAACUGAGACACGGUCCAGACUCCUACGGGAGGCAGCAGUGGGGAAUUUUCCGCAAUGGGCGAAAGCCUGACGGAGCAAUCUCGCGUGAGGGAUGACUGCCUAUGGGUUGUAAACCUCUUUUUUCAGGGAGGAAUUAAUGACGUGUACCUGAAGAAUAAGCAUCGGCUACCUCCGUGCCAGCAGCCGCGGUAAGACGGAGGAUGCAAGUGUUAUCCGGAAUCACUGGGCGUAAAGCGUCUGUAGGUGGUUUAAUAAGUCAACUGUUAAAUCUUGAAGCUCAACUUCAAAAUCGCAGUCGAAACUAUUAGACUAGAGUAUAGUAGGGGUAAAGGGAAUUUCCAGUGGAGCGGUGAAAUGCGUAGAGAUUGGAAAGAACACCGAUGGCGAAGGCACUUUACUGGGCUAUUACUGACACUCAGAGACGAAAGCUAGGGUAGCAAAUGGGAUUAGAUACCCCAGUAGUCCUAGCCGUAAACAAUGGAUACUAGAUGUU